RNAcentral lists this long non-coding RNA (230 nucleotides) under Brassica napus (rape). RNAcentral describes it as "long non-coding RNA (BNAP_LNC008452)". Lineage: Eukaryota; Viridiplantae; Streptophyta; Magnoliopsida; Brassicales; Brassicaceae. The record is from RNAcentral.
UAGUUAUUCAGAAAUCAAUGAGAAUAAAAAUAAUCAUGCAUUAUUUUGGAGGGGGAAAAAUAUGAAUCGGAUGACAGAAAUCAUGAAAAUAGGAAAAAGUGCGUCAUACUCUAAAUAGAAAGAUUGACUUCAUGGAUGAAUUAUCUCGACACUACUUAAGACUUAAUAUAACUUAGAAACUAUAAAUUAUUUCAUAUUUGACAAUGACGAUAUAAACACACAAAUUUUUU